Molecule: ribosomal RNA, 255 nt
Filed under: uncultured bacterium
Lineage: Bacteria
Description: partial 16S ribosomal RNA
Rfam family: Bacterial small subunit ribosomal RNA
Source: RNAcentral
GUGGAUUAGAUACCCUAGUAGUCCACGCUGUAAACGAUGUCAACUAGCCGUUGGUCCUAUUUACAGGAUUAGUGGCGCAGCUAACGCAUUAAGUUGACCGCCUGGGGAGUACGGCCGCAAGGUUAAAACUCAAAUGAAUUGACGGGGGCCCGCACAAGCGGUGGAGCAUGUGGUUUAAUUCGAUGCAACGCGAAGAACCUUACCUACCCUUGACAUCCAGAGAAUCUGUGAGAGAUCGUAGAGUGCCUUCGGGAA